AAAGAACAAAGUAGUUAUAGUAUAUUUUAUUCACCUAGAAACAAAGGGUCGAAAGUCACAGCAUGGAGGUUCAUUUUAUUUUGUAAACUCAUUAAAAAGAUGUCCAUGUACAAAAUAAGGACAUUUUCAACAACAGAACUGCAGACAAAGGAAACUAUAAAAAUUCAAUGCAUUAAUAAAAAGGUUUUAUUUUCUUUCUGCAUAAUUCCUUGCACCUUCCAUAGCAGUGUGCACGCACUCUGAAGUACAGUUGUUAGAAUCAUUAAAAUUCAAGAGGCUGAACAUGAAGCCAUUGCUCUGCUGGAGGAAUGUGCUGCUGAAAGAUCCAAACCCUGGAGCACGUUAACUAAAGUGAGACAAGGCUGAGGGACCUGGCUGAAGGCUGCUAAGAGGUUGCUGUGCAUUGAUCUGCUCACAGUUCCAGCUUGCUUUGCUUCCUGCAGAUACCUGGAACAGUCCUGGGGAGGAGCAGGGUCAGGCUGAGCAGGGCCUGGCCAGAGGUGGCUGCUGCCCUAACACAUCUAAUGCAAAUUAAAAACAUUGCUGCAGCCAAACAGCUGCCAUCCCAGCAAGUGUUAGCUGUGCACCAGUCUGAGCAGCUGCCUGAUUGGGAUUUAGGAUUCACUCCUCAGUCCUGGAUAUUCCUGAUUGCAAGUCUGGAACCCGUGAUACACUGUCCGUAACAGGUCAAUUAUAAAAUUUAAGCUGUGCUGAUUUGUAAUUUAAUUCAUCCCUGUUUCUCACCCCAAAAUAACUCCCAGCACUGAAAACCCAUGCCCUGCUUGAGGCUCCUGUCAGGGUUUCCUUCCUGUGUCCUCAGGGUAGGCCUGGCCUGCAGAGUCAGGGUCAGAACAGCCCCUGUGGGUCCCUGCAGUGCCCUCCAGGUGUGCCAGCCUCAGGAGCCCAGCAAACACCUCCCAUGGGCACAGAGCAGCUCCAGAGCCCGCAGGGGAUGGGUUCAGCUCCCAUGGGCACAGAGCAGCUCCAGAGCCUGCAGGGAUUCAGCUCCCCAUGGGCACAGAGCAGCUCCAGAGCUGCAGUGGAUUCAGCUCCCCAUGGGCACAGAGCAGCUCCAGAGCCUGCAGGGGAUGGAUUCAGCUUCAGAGCCCGCAGGGGAUGGAUUCAGCUCCCCACGGGCACAGAGCAGCUGCAGAGCUGCAGGGUUCAUUGAUUCACGCCCAGCUCUGCUGUCCCUGGCAGGCCGCAGUGCAAGAAGCAGCCCCUGCCCCAAGGCACUGCCCG
This 1242-nucleotide long non-coding RNA is filed under the name Zonotrichia albicollis (white-throated sparrow). Its description in RNAcentral is "lncRNA (ENSZALG00000013730.1)". The record is from RNAcentral. Lineage: Eukaryota; Metazoa; Chordata; Aves; Passeriformes; Passerellidae.